Long non-coding RNA from Crotalus tigris (Tiger rattlesnake), 608 nucleotides. RefSeq lists it as uncharacterized. The record is from RefSeq and is a predicted model, not a curated record. Lineage: Eukaryota; Metazoa; Chordata; Lepidosauria; Squamata; Viperidae. The transcript is spliced from 2 exons.
AGGAGAAAACACCGAUCAAAAGCAAGAAAGCAAAACAGCCGCUUAUCCUUCGCCAACAGCCGGAGCAUCUGACAUAAAGGCGAGGGGAAGGGGAGGAGACGAGAGUCUCCCGCCCAGAGGCACAGAUCCUGCAUCCUCCGAAGGGGACGGUGAGAUGGAUGGAAGGGAAAAGAGGGAUAAAGGAAGGAAGGAAGGAAGGAGCGCGACAGAGCCCAGUUCCUACAUAGCAACACCGAAGAGGAGUGGGCAGCUGCAAUGAAGCAGGCGAAGAAGGGAGCUACCGAGCCGUACGUAGCCAGACGCCCGUGCCCUUCCCAGGCCAGCCAGCGGCUCAGACCAGAAACACCAAGGCAGGCGAGGGCUUCUGCAUGCCCGUACAGAGUGCCGUUUUCCUGCCUCGGCCUUUGCCAAGAAACGGUUCCUGGAGGGGGCUUGGGGUGGGGUGGGUGGUUGGCGGGCUAGAGAGUGGCUGUAUGCCCGGCUCAUCGGGUUCGGCCUUCCAGGCCUGUGCCUGGCACAACGUUUCAGAAUUUUGUUUUUAAAAUGUAAGAAGGCCGUUUCAUUGCUUUAUGACGAAUCGGUGCAUUGAAGAGUAACCCUUUAAAAAC